GACGAACGCUGGCGGCGUGGAUUAGGCAUGCAAGUCGAACGGUAUAUAUUCUUUCGGGAAUAUAGAGAGUGGCGAACGGGUGAGUAACGCGUAGGUAAUCUGCCUUCAGGCGGGGGACAACCCAGGGAAACUUGGGCUAAUACCGCAUGUGUCCGCAAGGAUAAAGCCGGCCUCUAUAUAUAAGCUGGUGCCUGGAGAUGAGCCUGCGUCUGAUUAGCUAGUUGGUGGGGUAACGGCCUACCGAGGCGAUGAUAAGUAGGCGGCUUUAACGAGUGGUCGCCCACACUGGGAUUGAGAAACGGCCCAGACUCCUACGGGAGGCAG
This 324-nucleotide ribosomal RNA is filed under the name uncultured Spirochaetota bacterium. Its description in RNAcentral is "bacterial SSU rRNA". It matches the Rfam family "Bacterial small subunit ribosomal RNA", at positions 28 to 351 of the family's 1533-position model. The record is from RNAcentral. Lineage: Bacteria; Pseudomonadati; Spirochaetota.